This 311-nucleotide ribosomal RNA is filed under the name uncultured bacterium. RNAcentral describes it as "bacterial SSU rRNA". It matches the Rfam family "Bacterial small subunit ribosomal RNA", at positions 30 to 342 of the family's 1533-position model. The record is from RNAcentral.
AUUGAACGCUGGCGGCAUGCCUUACACAUGCAAGUCGAACGGUAACGCGGGGCAACCUGGCGACGAGUGGCGAACGGGUGAGUAAUAUAUCGGAACGUGCCCAGUAGUGGGGGAUAGCCCGGCGAAAGCCGGAUUAAUACCGCAUACGACCUACGGGUGAAAGGCGGGGGAUCGCAAGACCUCGCGCUAUUGGAGCGGCCGAUAUCAGAUUAGGUAGUUGGUGGGGUAAAGGCCUACCAAGCCUACGAUCUGUAGCUGGUCUGAGAGGACGACCAGCCACACUGGGACUGAGACACGGCCCAGACUCCUAC